Molecule: ribosomal RNA, 248 nt
Filed under: uncultured Eubacteriales bacterium
Lineage: Bacteria; Bacillati; Bacillota; Clostridia; Eubacteriales
Description: uncultured Clostridiales bacterium partial 16S ribosomal RNA
Rfam family: Bacterial small subunit ribosomal RNA
Source: RNAcentral
UACGUAGGUGGCAAGCGUUGUCCGGAAUGACUGGGCGUAAAGGGUGCGUAGGCGGCUAUUCAAGUUAGUAGUGAAAUCCCGAGGCUCAACUUCGGUGCUACUACUAAGACUGUUUAGCUUGAGUGCAGGAGGGGCAAGUGGAAUUCCUAGUGUAGCGGUGGAAUGCGUAGAUAUUAGGAGGAACACCAGUGGCGAAGGCGACUUGCUGGACUGUAACUGACGCUGAGGUACGAAAGCGUGGGGAGCAA